This 253-nucleotide ribosomal RNA is filed under the name uncultured bacterium. RNAcentral describes it as "partial 16S ribosomal RNA". It matches the Rfam family "Bacterial small subunit ribosomal RNA", at positions 524 to 776 of the family's 1533-position model. The record is from RNAcentral.
UACGUAGGGGGCAAGCGUUGUCCGGAUUUACUGGGCGUAAAGAGCGUGUAGGCGGCCACGCAGGUCCGUUGUGAAAACUGGAGGCUCAACCUUCAGACGUCGACGGAAACCGUGUGGCUAGAGUCCGGAAGAGGAGAGUGGAAUUCCUGGUGUAGCGGUGAAAUGCGCAGAUAUCAGGAAGAACACCAAUUGCGAAGGCAGCUCGCUGGGACGUUACUGACGCUGAGACGCGAAAGCGUGGGGAGCGAACAGG